AAAUAAUCUCAUUAUUCUAGAGUUUGACAUGGCUCAGGACGAACGCUGGCGGCGUGCCUAAUACAUGCAAGUCGAACGCUUCUUUCCUCCCGAGUGCUUGCACUCAAUUGGAAAGAGGAGUGGCGGACGGGUGAGUAACACGUGGGUAACCUACCCAUCAGAGGGGGAUAACACUUGGAAACAGGUGCUAAUACCGCAUAACAGUUUAUGCCGCAUGGCAUAAGAGUGAAAGGCGCUUUCGGGUGUCGCUGAUGGAUGGACCCGCGGUGCAUUAGCUAGUUGGUGAGGUAACGGCUCACCAAGGCCACGAUGCAUAGCCGACCUGAGAGGGUGAUCGGCCACACUGGGACUGAGACACGGCCCAGACUCCUACGGGAGGCAGCAGUAGGGAAUCUUCGGCAAUGGACGAAAGUCUGACCGAGCAACGCCGCGUGAGUGAAGAAGGUUUUCGGAUCGUAAAACUCUGUUGUUAGAGAAGAACAAGGACGUUAGUAACUGAACGUCCCCUGACGGUAUCUAACCAGAAAGCCACGGCUAACUACGUGCCAGCAGCCGCGGUAAUACGUAGGUGGCAAGCGUUGUCCGGAUUUAUUGGGCGUAAAGCGAGCGCAGGCGGUUUCUUAAGUCUGAUGUGAAAGCCCCCGGCUCAACCGGGGAGGGUCAUUGGAAACUGGGAGACUUGAGUGCAAAAAAGGAGAGUGGAAUUCCAUGUGUAGCGGUGAAAUGCGUAAAUUUAUGGAGGAACACCAGUGGCGAAGGCGGCUCUCUGGUCUGUAACUGACGCUGAGGCUCG
This 793-nucleotide ribosomal RNA is filed under the name uncultured bacterium. RNAcentral describes it as "bacterial SSU rRNA". It matches the Rfam family "Bacterial small subunit ribosomal RNA", at positions 1 to 755 of the family's 1533-position model. The record is from RNAcentral.